AUACGGAGGGUGCAAGCGUUAAUCGGAAUUACUGGGCGUAAAGGGCGCGUAGGCGGUCUAUCAAGUCAGGUGUGAAAUCCCACGGCUCAACCGUGGAGGUGCAUCUGAAACUGAUAGACUUGAGUAUGGGAGAGGAAAGUGGAAUUUCCGGUGUAGAGGUGAAAUUCGUAGAUAUCGGGAGGAACACCAGUGGCGAAGGCGACUUUCUGGACCAAUACUGACGCUGAGGCGCGAAAGCGUGGGGAGCAAACAGGGUUAGAAACCCCAGUAGUCC
This 274-nucleotide ribosomal RNA is filed under the name uncultured bacterium. RNAcentral's name for it is "partial 16S ribosomal RNA". It matches the Rfam family "Bacterial small subunit ribosomal RNA", at positions 523 to 796 of the family's 1533-position model. The record is from RNAcentral.